GUAGGGAAUAUUGGGCAAUGCUCGCAAGAGUGACCCAGCCAUGCCGCGUGCAGGAAGAAGGCCUUCUGGGUUGUAAACUGCUUUUGGAAGGGAACAAAAUGGGCAUGCGUGCCAACUUGAGUGUACCUUCAGAAUAAGCACCGGCUAACUCCGUGCCAGCAGCCGCGGUAAUACGGAGGGUGCAAGCGUUGUCCGGAUUUAUUGGGUUUAAAGGGUGCGUAGGCGGCUUAUUAAGUCAGGGGUGAAAGACUAUUGCUUAACAAUGGCAGUGCCUUUGAUACUGAUAGGCUUGAGUACAGCUGAGGCAGAUGGAACGGGUGGUGUAGCGGUGAAAUGCAUAGAUACCAUCCAGAACACCGAUUGCGAAGGCAGUCUGCUAAACUGUAACUGACGCUGAGGCACGAAAGCGUGGGGAUCGAACAGGAUUAGAAACCCCAGUAGUCC
Molecule: ribosomal RNA, 444 nt
Filed under: uncultured bacterium
Lineage: Bacteria
Description: bacterial SSU rRNA
Rfam family: Bacterial small subunit ribosomal RNA
Source: RNAcentral